AUGAACGCUGGCGGCGUGCUUAACACAUGCAAGUCGAACGCGAAGUGAAGACGGAAACCUUCGGGCGGAAGGCUUUAUUUCGAGUGGCGGACGGGUGAGUAACGCGUGGGUAACCUGCCUCAUACAGGGGGAUAACAGUUGGAAACGACUGUUAAUACCGCAUAAGACCACAGCACCGCAUGGUGCGGGGGUAAAAACUCCGGUGGUAUGAGAUGGACCCGCGUUCGAUUAGCCAGUUGGCGGGGUAACGGCCCACCAAAGCGACGAUCGAUAGCCGAUCUGAGAGGAUGACCGGCCACAUUGGGACUGAGACACGGCCCAAACUCCUACGGGAGGCAGCAGUGGGGAAUAUUGCACAAUGGGGGAAACCCUGAUGCAGCGACGCCGCGUGAGUGAAGAAGUAUUUCGGUAUGUAAAGCUCUAUCAGCAGGGAAGAAAAUGACGGUACCUGAGUAAGAAGCCCCGGCUAACUACGUG
RNAcentral lists this ribosomal RNA (477 nucleotides) under uncultured bacterium. RNAcentral's name for it is "partial 16S ribosomal RNA". It matches the Rfam family "Bacterial small subunit ribosomal RNA", at positions 29 to 507 of the family's 1533-position model. The record is from RNAcentral.